ACACAGAACACAGCCAGCAGAGGACACACUUCCCCGCCAUCCAGAAAUGGGUUUGAUUCUCAGCCGAGGGACAGCAGGACUGGUAGAGACUGUCAGGCCACACAGAGGCCUGCACAGCACCCCCAUGCUUGGUGGGGGGCGGGAGGGAUGGCGGGGCUGGCUGUCCACAGGCCAGGCAUGACAGGGAGGCUCACUGAAGGUGGUGCACUUUGGAGGGGCAAUGUCAGGGGACAGCUUUCUCUUGUUGGGCCACAGACUCCAAAAAGACAGCACGGUGACUGAUUCCCAGGGCUAGAGACAAGGCGGUCGGCCACAUGUUGGUGGCACCCAGGGCAGUGCACCCACCGUUCAGAGCAAUGCUCAGCCCCUUCCGGUUUCCCUCUUCUCUGGUCACCCUGUCUUCAAACUCACUGGCCCCGGGCCACCUCUUGCUUUUGGGAACCCAGCGCAACAUCCACCAGGCCUGAUAGAGAAGGAACACCACUUGAACCAGGAUGAUGAAGAUAGAGGAGGUGGGACCUGACUAUCACCCCUGCUCUGCAGUGGAUUUGGCUCUCAGCACUCCCAGGCUGGGAGCUGGAUGCCCUCCCCUGGCAGCAUGACUCAGACUUCACAACAGGUACAGCGUGCCCAGGAUGACAUUCCUAGGCCUCUGGCGGCCUCAGAGUGCAGCCCCACACACAACCCCCUCCAAGCUCUCAGCCCUUACACCAUAAGCCACGAGCCCUCUGACAGCUCCAUAGAGCACCCAUGUCUGCCUGUUUGGGCGCAGAGCCUGUUCCAAGAGCCCACAAGCUCAGCCAUGGAGGCUGGGGGGCUUUGGGGCUAGUGGGGGCCAGCCCUGGUACCUGCGUCCAGCCGGGACACUCUGUACCUGAAGCUAGGAGUCGUCCACGGGCCCCCGUAGCUGUGCUGACGGUGGUCGUGUUGAUGUCGCGGAUGAUGCUGAGCCUCUUUCAGCAUGUGGUGCUUGCGCAGCAUCUCGUCUCGCCGCUGUGCCUGCUCUGCCGACUCCUCCAUCAGCGUGUUCUGGUCCCCCCGUGAGUACAGGUUGGACAGCAGCUCUGAGAAGACGAACUCCUUGGUCUGAGAGUGGGCAAAGAAGGAAGGAGGUUGGGUCCUGAUGCCUGUGCUGCCCUGGCCUCCCGCUGGCCCCUGCUGGGACUGUGUGCUGGAGUUGGAGCCCUGAGUAUGGCUUUUCAGAUGUGGCUUCUACACAGCUUAAACUCAAAGAUCUGCCUCCCCACUGCCCUUUUCUCACUCAGAUAGGGACACUGAGGUCCAGAGGGAAGGUCAGCUGUCCAACUCACAGAUCUGGGAGGGGACCCUGGACCUAUCAUGCUACCAGGACACCUGUCUACUCAGUUUUUUCAAAUUUUUUUUGGAGAUAGGCUCUUACUCUGUCGCUAGGCUGGAGUAUAGUGGGCGAGAUCACCGCUCACUGCAUCCUCAACCUCUUGGGCUCAAAGUGAUCCUCUAAUGUCAGCCUGUCAAGUAGCUAGGACUAUAGGCACGUGCCACCACCAAGCCCAGCUAUUUUUAAAAUUUUUGUGUAAAGGCCAGGUCUCAUUAUGUUGCUCAGGCUGGUCUCAAACUCCUGGGCUCAAGCUAUCCUCCCACCUUGGCUUCCCAAAGUGCUGGGACUACAGGCAUGGGCCACUGUCCUCAGUCCCACGUUAUAUUUCUAUGAGACAGCUCUGGUCUGGACCGUGCCUCCCUCCCUGAACCUGGUCCCAUAGGGCUGGUCGGCAUCUCCCCCAGGCUAACAUGGCCACCUGCAUCCCCAGUGCUGCAGGAGCCCCCACCCCCAUGAGGCGGUGCAUGUACGUUGUAGAUCAUGAUGUGCGUGAUGGUCUUGGGCUUGACACCAACCAUGAGGUCCCGCACGGUCUUGUUGACAAUGGCCAUGUAGGAGUCCACCAGGUUCUGGGUGGUUUCCAUUUGCCGCUCCAGCUGUGGGUCCAUGGAGUGCAUGAAGCUGUCGGAGCCAUUCUCCUCGGCCUUGCUGUCCUGUCACGGAGAAUGCAAGGGCAUCAGCGUGGCCAGGCCAUGCAGCCAGGCUCCAGGAAUCCUUAGGAUCUCAGUCCCUCCAAGCGUACCUGGAACACUGAAGCACAGAGAGAAGCAACUGGCCUGAACAUGCACCCAGCUCCCCACACACUCUAGAUGGUUUCAGUCCUCUGCCUCUCAGGACCCCAGACUCCCCUGAUUCAAGUCUCCUCUUAGUUCUGACUCUAGUGCCCAGAAUUUGCCUCAAGUUACCAAUCCAGAAAUUGGAAAAGAACAUCUCCAGGUCCCUUGCUUGAAGACCUGGCCAGAGCUUGUGCCAGGCUGCAGAUGCCUGGCAGGAGGCAAGAAAAGGGCAUACUCACUUUCCCCUUGUCCUGGGAGGCCCACACACCAACAUUGCCACCACCACUGCCACCAGGGAACACAGCAAAGUAGACACACAGAGAGAGGAAAACGGGAAGGGUUGAGUGAACCUGGGACACUGCACCCCAACUUUAAUGUAUUGUUGAAUUCAAUUAGCUAAUACUUUGUUGAGGAAUUUGCAUCAAUAUUCAUCAGUGAUACUGGCCUCUAGUUUUCUUUUUUGGAUGUAUAUUUAGUGUUGGUAUCAGGGUAAUACUAGCCUUGUAGAAUGAGUUUGGAAGUAUUCCCUCCUCCUCUAUUUUUGGAAUUGUUUGGGUAAGGUUGGUGUUAGUUCUUCUUUAAAUGUUUGCUAGAAUUCAGCAGUGAAUCAUCAGGUCCCAGGCUUUUCUUUGCUGGGAGACUUUUCAUUACCGCUUCGAUCCCAUUAUUUGUUAUUGGUCUGUUCUGGUUUUGGAUUUCAUCCUGGUUCAGUCUUGGUAGUCUGGAUGUGUCUGGAAAUUUAUCCAUUUUUAGUGGGUUUUCCUAUUUGUUUGCAUAUAGUUGCUGAUAAUAGCCACUAGUGAUCCUUUGAGUUUUUGUGGUAUCAGUUGUCAUGUUUCCUUUUGUUUGUCAAUGUUGUUUAUCUUUUUAAAAAAACAACUUUUCUUUUUUUUGAGAUGGAGUCUUGCUCUGUUGCCCAGGCUGGAGUGCAAUGGCACAAUCUUGGCUCACUGCAACCUCUGCCUCCCAGGUUCAAGUGAUUCUCCUGCCUCAGCCUCCUGAGUAGCUGGGAUUACAGGCACAUACCACCACCCUGGGUAAUUUUUCUAUUUUUAGUAGAGACAUGGUUUCACCAUGUUGAUCAGGCUGGUCUUCAACUCCUGACCUCAUAAGCUGCCCACUUCGGCCCUGCAAAGUGCUGGGAUUACAGGCGUGAGAAUCUGUGCCCAGCCCACAUUUUGUUUUUAAAUUUUACUUAUUUACUUUUUUUUUUUCUUUUGCAGACAGGGUCUCAUUCCGUUGCCCAGGCUGGAGUGCAGUGGUGCAAUCAUGGCUCACUGUAACCUUGAACACCUAAACUCAAGAGAUCCUCCCACCUCAGCCUCAUGAGUAGCUGGGACUACAAGCCUGCACCACUACACCUGGCUAAUUUUUCUAGUUUUUUGUAGAGAAAGGGUUUUGCUAUGUUGCCCAGGCUGGUCUUGAACUCCUGGCCUCAAGCAAUCCUCCUGCCGUGGCCUCCCAAAGUGCCGGGAUUACAGGCAUAAGCCACCAUGCCGGGCCUAUAUAUACAUUUUCUUUUCAAGUCAUAUAAAGUAUUCUGUAUGCAUCCUUCUGGAAUUUGUUGUUCUCACUUAAUAUUAUAUUGCUAAAGUUCUUAUUGUU
This is a long non-coding RNA of Symphalangus syndactylus (siamang), 3738 nucleotides long. RefSeq lists it as uncharacterized. NCBI's taxonomy places the organism in Eukaryota, Metazoa, Chordata, Mammalia, Primates, Hylobatidae. The record is from RefSeq and is a predicted model, not a curated record.